GCGUGCUCGAAAAUGUUAAAGUUCUUAUUUCAUGGUAUAACUUUGGUAUGCUUGGACCUAGAGUCUUCAAACUUGACAUGAAGGUUGGCCAGGACUAACAGAUGACCACUGGUCAUUUCAAGGUCAUUCAUUUGAAGGUCAAGGUCACUGUGACCUUGAAUGUAAAAAUGUUAAAGUUGUUAUAACUUUGGUAUGCUUGGACCUAGAGUCUUGAAACUUGACAUGAAGGUUGGCCAGAACUAGUAAGUAACCACUGGACAUUUCAAGGUCAUUCAUUUGAAGGUCAAGGUCACUGUGACCUUGAAUGUAAAAAUGUUAAAGUUCUUAUUUCAUGUUAUAACUUUGGUAUGCUUGUACCUAGAGUCUUCAAACUUGAAAUAAAGAUUGGCCAGUA
Molecule: long non-coding RNA, 394 nt
Organism: Dreissena polymorpha
Lineage: Eukaryota; Metazoa; Mollusca; Bivalvia; Myida; Dreissenidae
Exons: 2
Source: RefSeq, a predicted model, not a curated record